This 694-nucleotide ribosomal RNA is filed under the name uncultured bacterium. RNAcentral's name for it is "bacterial SSU rRNA". It matches the Rfam family "Bacterial small subunit ribosomal RNA", at positions 32 to 715 of the family's 1533-position model. The record is from RNAcentral.
AACGCUAGCUACAGGCUUAACACAUGCAAGUUGAGGGGCAGCAUGGUCUUAGCUUGCUAAGGCCGAUGGCGACCGGCGCACGGGUGAGUAACACGUAUCCAACCUGCCGUCUACUCUUGGACAGCCUUCUGAAAGGAAGAUUAAUACAAGAUGGCAUCAUGAGUCCGCAUGUUCACAUGAUUAAAGGUAUUCCGGUAGACGAUGGGGAUGCGUUCCAUUAGAUAGUAGGCGGGGUAACGGCCCACCUAGUCUUCGAUGGGUAGGGGUUCUGAGAGGAAGGUCCCCCACAUUGGAACUGAGACACGGUCCAAACUCCUACGGGAGGCAGCAGUGAGGAAUAUUGGUCAAUGGGCGAGAGCCUGAACCAGCCAAGUAGCGUGAAGGAUGACUGCCCUAUGGGUUGUAAACUUCUUUUAUAAAGGAAUAAAGUCGGGUAUGUAUACCCGUUUGCAUGUACUUUAUGAAUAAGGAUCGGCUAACUCCGUGCCAGCAGCCGCGGUAAUACGGAGGAUCCGAGCGUUAUCCGGAUUUAUUGGGUUUAAAGGGAGCGUAGAUGGAUGUUUAAGUCAGUUGUGAAAGUUUGCGGCUCAACCGUAAAAUUGCAGUUGAUACUGGAUAUCUUGAGUGCAGUUGAGGCAGGCGGAAUUCGUGGUGUAGCGGUGAAAUGCUUAGAUAUCACGAAGAACUCCGAUUG